ACUGCAAAAGUUCAGGUUUCUACAAUGCUGGAAUGCUUUCACGCCAAACACACUGACGAUAUAGCAUUCUCAGGAAUAGGAAUACUUAUAUUGUAAUUUUUAUUGUUGAUAUAAAUUUGUUAAUGUUGGUGGUGCCGUAAGUGAAAAUUUUCUAUAAAUAUGUGUGAAGAAGGGAAGCUGGACACUGAUGCUUGUCUUCAACUACCACUCAUGGCAACUACUAAACCCUCACACCUUCCGGAACCUUCUCAAAGCAUGCAUAUCGGAAAGAAACCUUUUAGCAGGGAAAGCCCUUCACGCACUCUUCUUCAAAUCCCACAACAACAACAAUGAUAACAUUACCACCUACCUCUCUAACCAUUUCACCAUUCUCUAUUCCAAAUGCGGCACUCUACGCAAUGCCAGAACUGCAUUUGACCUCACUGAACACCCCAAUGUGUUCUCCUACAAUGCCAUCAUCAAUGCCUAUGCCAAACACUCCCUUCCCCACAUUGCCCGCCAGCUGUUCGACCAAAUUCCUCAACCGGACCUUGUUUCCUACAACACCCUCAUUAGUGCGUAUGCUGAGCGCGGCGACUGUGAGGAGGCACUGGGCUUGCUCCGGGUGGUCAGAGAGAAGUGCAUUGCCAUCGACGGGUUCACCCUCUCCGGCGUCAUAGAUGCUUGCUGCGGCCGUGGCGUGGGGUUGAUCAGGCAGCUACAUUGCUUCGUGGUGAUGGGUGGGUUUCAUUCUUAUGCUUCUGUUAACAAUGCCAUCCUCACGAGUUAUAGCAAGGAGGGAUUCUUGGGUGAGGCGAAACGGGUGUUUCAUGAGAUGGGGGUUGGUGGGAGGGAUGAGGUUUCUUGGAACUCGAUGAUAGUGGCUUGCGGGCAACACCGUGAGGGAUCGGAUGCGCUGGCACUGUUCUGUGAGAUGGUUAUGAUGGGAUUGGAGGUUGACAUGUUCACUAUGGCUAGUGUGUUGACUGCCUUUACUUCCCUCAAGGAUUUGGCAGGGGGGAUGCAGUUUCAUGCUAAGAUGAUUAAGAGUGGAUUCCACAGGAAUACUCAUGUAGGGAGUGGUUUGAUUGACUUGUACUCUAAGUGUGCAGGGGGCAUGUUAGAGUGCAGGAAGGUGUUUGAAGAGAUUAUUGCACCAGAUUUGGUUCUAUGGAACACAAUGAUUUCUGGAUAUUCCCAGAAUGAGGACUUGUCUGAGGAUGCCCUCUGUUGUUUUCGCAAGAUGCAGCGUCUUGGCUUUUGUCCAGAUGAUUGUAGUUUCGUGUGUGUGGUUAGUGCUUGCUCUAAUUUACCUCCCUCAGUAGGAAAUCAAGUUCACGCGUUGACAAUCAAAUCCGACAUCCUUUAUAAUCGUGUUUCGGUGAAUAAUGCUCUUGUUGCAAUGUAUUCUAAAUGUGGGAAUCUUCAGGAUGCGAGAAAGAUUUUUGAUACUAUGCCAGAACACAACACGGUAUCACUGAAUUCGAUGAUAGCAGGUUACGCACAACAUGGCCUUGAGGCUGAGUCACUAUGGCUUUUUGAACUGAUGCUGCAAAAGGAUAUUGCCCCAAAUAACAUAACCUUCAUAUCUGUUCUUUCUGCAUGCGCACACACGGGGAAAGUUGAGGAAGGUCAGAAAUAUUUCAAUAUGAUGAAGGAGAAGUUUGGGUUUGAACCAGAGGCAGAACAUUAUUCAUGCAUGAUAGAUCUUUUGGGUCGUGCGGGCAAACUCAAGGAAGCCGAGAGGAUUAUUGAGACGAUGCCAUUUAAUCCUGGCUCUAUUGAAUGGGCUGCUUUACUUGGAGCAUGUAAGAAACAUGGAAAUGUGGAUCUUGCAGUGAAAGCAGCCAGUGAGUUUGUCCGGAUUGAACCUUAUAGUGCUGUUCCAUACGUGGUACUUUCUAAUAUGUAUGCCAGUGCUGGCAGAUGGGAAGAGGCUGCGACACUUAAGAAGAUGAUGCGUGAAAGAGGAGUGAAGAAGACACCUGGUUGUAGCUGGAUUGAGAUAGAUAAGAAAGUGCAUGUCUUCGUGGCCGAAGAUACUUCACAUCCAAUGAUAAAAAAGAUUCAUGAGUAUAUGGGAGAGAUGUUAAAGAAGUUGAAACAAGCAGGUUAUGUUCCUGAUAUAAGAUGGGCAUUGAUGAAAGAUGAAGAAGCAGUGACGGCAGAAGAGAAGGAAAGAAAGUUAUUGUAUCAUAGUGAGAAACUGGCUGUUGCAUUCGGCUUGAUCUGUACUGAAGAAGGGGUGCCAAUACUGGUUGUGAAGAACCUAAGAAUUUGUGGUGAUUGCCACAACGCCAUAAAAAUUAUUUCAGCCAUUUCUGGUAGGGAAAUCACUGUUAGAGAUACUCACAGGUUUCAUUGCUUUAAAGAAGGACAAUGUUCAUGCAGAGAUUAUUGGUGAUAAUAUAAUCAAAGGUGCUACACUGCUACUUUACCGGGAAUUUGAGUUGUUCUACCAUGACUUAUAGAUCUACUAAGCAGCCAAGCUAAACUGAAUGUUUGCAGAGCUUACUUGCAGAAUCCUACUAAAGAGUUGUACACAAGAUGGUCUUGAAGCUGAACUGCGACAGCUUCUCAAACUGACGCUGCAAAAUGAUAUUUUCUCUAAAAACAUAACCUUCAUAUAUGUUCAUACACAUGUGUUGGUUGGUGCAACCAAAGCAUCCAAUGAAUUCCUACAGCAGGAACCUUAUAAGGCUGCUCCCUAUGGGAUCCUUUAGAAUAUGCAUGCUAAUGCUGGUGAAUUAGGAAGAGGCCUACAACACUUAAAGAAAUACUGCAAAAUAAUUAUCAUUGACACACCCUAGUGAUGGACUUCAAAGAAUGGAAGAAAAAUGAUUAUCAUCCCUGAGAGUCCAAAUAAUCAUAGCCUGCUUUCUGAUUAAAAUCUUGAGCCUCAAGUCUCGUCUUGUGGCACUCACCGCUGCCAUCCAGAUUAAAUUUCACCUUGAACACCCACUUGCAACCGAUAGUAUGUUUACCAUGAGUCAGUGAAGUAAUAGUCCAAGUCCUGUUCUUCUCAAGGGUGAGUAACUCCACACUGAUUGCAUUUCUCCAACACUCAUGCACAACAUCUUGUUGAUACGUCCUUGGCUUCGAGGUUGUGAUUAUUGCCAGGGAAAAGGCUCUACGGGUGGGAGACAGCUUCCCAUAAUCCACAAGGUGAUGCAAACCGCAUCUCUCUCAACAUGAUUGGUAGCUGGAACUCCCUGUCCGAAGCAGCAUGCAAUGAUUAGGUGAGUACGAAGAUAUGAAGAAUCAUAAAGAAAAGGGAUCAAAGUCAUCAAAAUUAGAACCAAUAGUCGGUGUAAAAGAUGGCAAAGUACCCUUUGCAUGUAGCAAUUAAUUUAUAAGACAAACAAUGCUCAUAAAAUUCAACAUUUCUAGACAAAUAUAAUUCCCUUGUAUUGAGAUCAAAUAAUGUAUAACCCCUUUGUACUUUAUCAGAGAUGAUAAAUGUGCCUUAACUUGAGUCUAUGCAAUUGUGUGGCUUUGAUUUUUCUC
RNA transcript from Arachis ipaensis, 3486 nucleotides. It is a transcript of the gene named pentatricopeptide repeat-containing protein At3g49710, with no coding region annotated. Lineage: Eukaryota; Viridiplantae; Streptophyta; Magnoliopsida; Fabales; Fabaceae. The record is from RefSeq and is a predicted model, not a curated record.